CUUAGUCUUAAAGAUACAGAACUUACAGCAUAAACAGAGCAGACAACUGGGGUUACAAGCACCAAAAAGUUACCCCAGGACAGGUUAUUUUUACUAGUUGGCUGCAAAUAAGCUGCUACUCCAAGUUCAUUGAUUGACAUAUUUGCAAAUUUUCUUCCCUUAGUUCACCAGCUCUAACCUUCUGCCUCUGGGAUUUUGUUACACUUUCUGUACAAAGAGGCUUCAGUAAAUGUCUAGUAACGAAGAUCUAUCUGUUACUGCCUCUCUAAGACCCUUCAGCUGGAAAAUGGAACUGGGAAGAGUGGUACUGUGGGCAUUUUUAAAGUCGUCUCUUGCUGGCAGCUUGGCCUCUUAACAUGCCUAAUUGUUGCCUUGCUGGGCUCCUCAUUUUUGCUGAAACAGAGCUCUGACUCUGGCCGCUUGAUUUAGCUCUUGGCUUCUUGCUACGGAGCCGAGGCAGUGUGGACAGAGGCUUUUCAGGUUGGGGUUCUCUUUUGGGUAUGUUUUUUUCUCAUGUCAGAGAGGCUGCAAUUAGUGGUUUUGGUCUGCCUCAGGCCGAAUUCCACCAGCAGCGCCUGGCUGAGGACAGAAGACCACGAGCCACCCCAGCCCAGCUGUCCUGCCUUGCUUGCCCUGCCAUCUCCUGCCAGAGAAAAGCGAAGUCUCUCCACGAGUUCUAGCCCUGUGACCCAGAGGAUACCAGGUGGAGCUCCAGCCAUCAGGGAGAUAAGCAGGGCAGUGAGCAGAGGGAAGGCCGCCACUCUUUUUCCCAUUGUCCGUGAGAUGUGUUCGGCUGGGGAGAGCCGUCCUGGCGGGGUGGUACCCUGUGAGAUGUAGCAAUAUUGUAUCCAGCAAUUGCUUCCUGUUAAUCUUUGCCUGUUGCUGUUCCAAUUGUUAGUAAAAUCCUAUAUUUUUUCGCUUA
Long non-coding RNA from Hirundo rustica (Barn swallow), 922 nucleotides. RefSeq lists it as uncharacterized. NCBI's taxonomy places the organism in Eukaryota, Metazoa, Chordata, Aves, Passeriformes, Hirundinidae. The transcript is spliced from 4 exons. The record is from RefSeq and is a predicted model, not a curated record.